Molecule: ribosomal RNA, 253 nt
Filed under: uncultured bacterium
Lineage: Bacteria
Description: partial 16S ribosomal RNA
Rfam family: Bacterial small subunit ribosomal RNA
Source: RNAcentral
UACGUAGGGUGCAAGCGUUAAUCGGAAUUACUGGGCGUAAAGCGUGCGCAGGCGGUGAUGUAAGACAGGUGUGAAAUCCCCGGGCUUAACCUGGGAAUGGCAUUGGUGACUGCACGGCUAGAGUGUGUCAGAGGGGGGUAGAAUUCCACGUGUAGCAGUGAAAUGCGUAGAGAUGUGGAGGAAUACCGAUGGCGAAGGCAGCCCCCUGGGAUAACACUGACGCUCAUGCACGAAAGCGUGGGGAGCAAACAGG